This is a non-coding RNA of Mycena rebaudengoi, 88 nucleotides long. NCBI's taxonomy places the organism in Eukaryota, Fungi, Basidiomycota, Agaricomycetes, Agaricales, Mycenaceae. The record is from the annotation of a GenBank genome assembly.
GGCUCGGUAGCGGAUGGUCCGCGUCUGCUUCAAAUAUCUAAUUUCCAAGGGUCGCUGGAUCCCGCCUGUUCGAAUCAGGCCCGAGCCA